This 320-nucleotide ribosomal RNA is filed under the name Aclopus sp. AEM-2009. RNAcentral describes it as "partial 28S ribosomal RNA". It matches the Rfam family "Eukaryotic large subunit ribosomal RNA", at positions 670 to 957 of the family's 3401-position model. Lineage: Eukaryota; Metazoa; Arthropoda; Insecta; Coleoptera; Scarabaeidae. The record is from RNAcentral.
GGAGUCUAGCAUGUGCGCGAGUCAUUGGGACUGUACGAAACCUAAAGGCGCAAUGAAAGUGAAGGUCGUCUCGCGCGGACCGAGGGAGGAUGGGUGGUCUCGAGGGACCGCCCCGCACUCCCGGGGCGUCUCGUUCUCAUCGCGAGAAGAGGCGCACCCAGAGCGUACACGCUGGGACCCGAAAGAUGGUGAACUAUGCCUGGUCAGGACGAAGUCAGGGGAAACCCUGAUGGAGGUCCGUAGCGAUUCUGACGUGCAAAUCGAUCGUCGGAACUGGGUAUAGGGGCGAAAGACUAAUCGAACCAUCUAGUAGCUGGUUC